CACACCCGCACACACACACAGAGAGCGCAGAGGAAGAAUCAGAAGCACGUCUCUGCUUCGCUGCCAUAAAACACGAUCAGAUCCUCAGUUUCUAGCCGAUACUACAUAAAAAAUAACGUAAACUAACGCAGUAACGCAUCAUGUAGUAACGGUAACUGAGUUACUUAAUAUAAAAAAAUAACGCGUUCGAUUACUAGUUACCGCCGAAACUAACGGCGUUACAGUAACGCGUUACUUUGUAACGCGUUAGUCCCAACACUGGUUAUGACACUUGAUUGCAUCACCACUUUGAAACUUGCUCAGUCCCAAUGAAGAGCAAAACUAUUGUUGUGUUCCAGACAUGUCACGUAUUAUUGUUCUGUGGCCAAAUACUCAUCUCCACAAAUAUCACACUUUCCUUUCAAGGAAUCAAGAGCAAGAUCUUCAGUGAGGUCCUGGAAUUUGAUGCCAGCAACACGUGACAAAGAAGUUUGGAAAGGUGGCAAUAAAUACUGAUAAAGUUGAGGAAUGCUCAUCAAACACUUAUUUGGAACAUCCCACAGGUGUGCAGGCUAAUUGGGAACAGAGACCAACUUGCUUGCUCAGAAUCGCUGAAAUGAUGCGACUCAAGGAUUUAUUUCAGCUAACAGUUUAACUGCAGGGCAGCAAAGUCAAGUUCAGUGCAAGAGAAGGAGAAGCGGCUCAGUGUAACCCGAUGAGGCCGCCGAUGCGCCUCAGCAGUCUGGCAGGGGAUGGAGGGGUCCCUAGUGGACCUGAUCGACAACACCCGACUGAAGGAGAGUCUCAGGACUACGGCAGGUUGCAUUCAAAGACACAUUCUGAGACAGGACUCGUGGAUAUAAAUAUCAGAACGUUUCUGAAGCACCUGAAAAGGAUCAAGCCAAAUAAAUCUCAUUUCUUUCAGUCUGUUGCAACACAUGUUCAAUGGUCCACUUUUAGGCGGUUGUCAAGAAGUGUUGUACCUCUGCAAAGGUGUC
Nerophis lumbriciformis (worm pipefish) is the source of this 977-nucleotide long non-coding RNA. RefSeq lists it as uncharacterized. The record is from RefSeq and is a predicted model, not a curated record. Lineage: Eukaryota; Metazoa; Chordata; Actinopteri; Syngnathiformes; Syngnathidae.